This is a long non-coding RNA of Cryptotermes secundus, 817 nucleotides long. RefSeq lists it as uncharacterized. The record is from RefSeq and is a predicted model, not a curated record. NCBI's taxonomy places the organism in Eukaryota, Metazoa, Arthropoda, Insecta, Blattodea, Kalotermitidae. The transcript has 5 exons.
CGUAGCCGCUGUGUGCAAUGUGAUGGAACGGGUUUUAAGUGGCAAACUGUUCUUUUUUUAACAGUGCUGACGAAUUUGGCUUGGUGUAUCGCCCUGCAGGUGGUGUAAUGGUGGAUGUUUAGUUCAGGUUGAUGAGAAAUGAAGGUGUUUCUGUGUGCUGGCGGUUCCGUCCUGGGGAAUAACUGCCGGUGUCUCCAUGGUCCGUCAGCAUUGAGGAAUACUUGAUAAGAAGAUAUGGAUCGAAAUUUCCUUGGUUGGUACCAUAUUCGACCACACGUGUCAACGCUGCUAGGUACAAAUGUUUACCUUAGAACGCUUCAAGUCCUCCAGCAGACAAUAAGAUCACAACUUGAUCUCAUCCUUGGGAUAAUUGUAGAGUUGAAGAUCUUCACAGCUAGUUGCUAACUGAGAUUACUGCACAACUGUACCGAGCCGACCCGAACAUAUCGCGGGGACUGCGAGGCGAUUGCAGUGCAGGCACGAUGACCGCGCACAUUCCUGCACGGUGUUCGGAAGAGGAGAUCCACACUGGCCGGCCCCUCAUCUCAAGUGACGCAAACACCAAAUUAUUUCUUUUUUAAUACUGGAGAACAUAUCAGGAUCUGACAAGAUACUAAUCCGGGGAAAAAUCAUAUAAACAAUAACAACAAAAAAUGAUGACUUCGAUUACUAUAAAAAGUGGCAAAUUGUUAGGCCUAUACAUAGAAACACACAUGUACACGUGUUCAGAUUAACGGAGGACAAUCAGACUUCAAGAUGUAAUGGUCAGAAUUCGUGUUUCCCAUUCUAUAAAUUACAGUUUACAUCUGGUUCCUAU